CAGCAGCCGCGGUAAUACAGAGGGUGCGAGCGUUAAUCGGAUUUACUGGGCGUAAAGCGUGCGUAGGCGGCUUUUUAAGUCGGAUGUGAAAUCCCUGAGCUUAACUUAGGAAUUGCAUUCGAUACUGGGAAGCUAGAGUAUGGGAGGGGAUGGUAGAAUUCCAGGUGUAGCGGUGAAAUGCGUAGAGAUCUGGAGGAAUACCGAUGGCGAAGGCAGCCAUCUGGCCUAAUACUGACGCUGAGGUACGAAAGCAUGGGGAGCAAACAGGAUUAGAUACCCCCGUAGUCCCUGUCUCUUAUAC
RNAcentral lists this ribosomal RNA (301 nucleotides) under uncultured bacterium. RNAcentral's name for it is "partial 16S ribosomal RNA". It matches the Rfam family "Bacterial small subunit ribosomal RNA", at positions 509 to 807 of the family's 1533-position model. The record is from RNAcentral.